Molecule: ribosomal RNA, 465 nt
Filed under: uncultured bacterium
Lineage: Bacteria
Description: bacterial SSU rRNA
Rfam family: Bacterial small subunit ribosomal RNA
Source: RNAcentral
CCUACGGGGGGCUGCAGUAGGGAAUCUUCCGCAAUGGACGAAAGUCUGACGGAGCAACGCCGCGUGAGCGAAGAAGGUCUUCGGAUCGUAAAGCUCGGUUGUGAGGGAAGAACAAGUACGGGAGGAACUGACCGUACCUUGACGGUACCUGACGAGGAAGCCACGGCUAACUACGUGCCAGCAGCCGCGGUAAUACGUAGGUGGCAAGCGUUGUCCGGAAUUAUUGGGCGUAAAGCGCGCGCAGGCGGUCUUUUAAGGCUGAUGUGAAAUCUUGCGGCUCAACCGCACGCGGUCAGUGGAAACUGGGGGACUUGAGUGCAGAAGAGGAAAGCGGAAUUCCACGUGUAGCGGUGAAAUGCGUAGGGAUGUGGAGGGACGCCAGUGGCGAGGGUGGCUGUCUGGUCUGUAACUGACGCUGAGGCGCGACAGCGUGGGGAGCAAACAGGAUUAGAUACCCGUGUAGUC